Molecule: long non-coding RNA, 1192 nt
Organism: Magnolia sinica
Lineage: Eukaryota; Viridiplantae; Streptophyta; Magnoliopsida; Magnoliales; Magnoliaceae
Exons: 3
Source: RefSeq, a predicted model, not a curated record
UCCAUCGCGCCUUCUUCUCCCACCUCUUUUCUACCAAAACCCUUCUCCCCUCCUCUCUCCUCCCCUACAAUAACCUACCGAAAGUCUCUCUCUCUCUCUCUCUCUCUCUCUCUCUCUCUCUCUCUAAUGUCUCUCGAUCUCCAUUCUUCCUCCAAGUGCGCCCCAAAACCCUCCUCUUCCUCUCACUCUCCACAUCUCCCUCUCCUUCCAUCUCUCUCGAUGUCCCUCUCCCUCUAAGUGCGCCCCAAAACCCUCCUCUCCCUCUCCCUCUCCCUCUAUCUCUCUCAAUCUCCCUGUCUCUCUCGAUCUGCAUCUCCGUCUCCCUCUCGAUCUCCCUAUGUCUCUCCCUCCCUAUCUCUCUCUCAAUCUAUCUCUCCCUCUACAGUAAUGGCACAUCCUCUCCAGCAUCAUCUUCACCACUCUAAGUGCGGCCAGCAGCCCCCGCCCUUCACUUCGUCCCCGACCAUUUCUGGUUGUGUUGUCAUGGGCCUCUUUGGUAAAACUGUGCCUAAAACAGCAGAGAAUUUUCGAGCACUUUGCACAGGUAAGCCAACACUGUCUGUCAUUUUAAGUGUUAGGUUAUUCCUUAAGUUUAUGUUACACUGAUGCAGAUACUCAGAUUUGGACUUCUUUUCUCAUUACAAGAAGUUUCUCCUCAAAGCAUUGUUGAUAUUGAAAAUAGUCAGUUGUAGUCAGGAUUCAAAUUAUCAUUUGAACACCAUACAAUUUUUUUUUACAAUACAUUACCAAUACCAGCACAAUUCAAUUUUAUCAAACAUUUUUAUCAUAUUGCCCCAUGGGUGUAUCACAAUGCAUUCUUACAAUACAUUCUGCUAUUUUGAGCCUUCGUUGCAAUAUGUGAACUGACGUUAACUGUAAUACUGAGACUCUUAGUUGGACUAUCUAAACAUGUGUUGCUCCCACUUCAAAUCAAUAAUUCUGCUAUUUAGCCUUGGUUGCAAUAUGUGAAUGGAAAAAUCACUUUGUUUUUGGCCCAAGGGAGCCAUUUCUCAUUUUCUCAUUGUCUUGCAAACUAAAUUAGUAGUGCACAAGUGGCCAUUAUCAUCAAGUCCCUGAUUUUCAUCCCCUUUGCUGACUUAUCUACUAUCAAUUUUUCUGUGCAAUAUUUUAAACUAUCAUUUGCUUUCAAGUUCUUUAUAUUGCUUGAAUGUCAGACUAUCUAUAUCUAUAC